GACGAACGCUGGCGGCGUGCUUAACACAUGCAAGUCGAACGGAAAGGCCCUGCUUUUGUGGGGUGCUCGAGUGGCGAACGGGUGAGUAACACGUGAGUAACCUGCCCUUGACUUUGGGAUAACUUCAGGAAACUGGGGCUAAUACCGGAUAGGAGCUCCUGCUGCAUGGUGGGGGUGGGAGAGUUUCGGCGGUUGGGGAUGGACGCGCGGGUUAUCAGCUUGUUGGUGGGGUAGUGGCUUACAAAGGCUUUGACGGGUAGCCGGCCUGAGAGGGUGACCGGACACAUUGGGACUGAGAUACGGCCCAGACUCCUACGGGAGGCAGCAGUGGGGAAUAUUGCACAAUGGGCGGAAGCCUGAUGCAGAAACGCCGCGUGCGGGAUGACGGCCUUCGGGUUGUAAACCGCUUUCGACUGUGACGAAGCGUGAGUGACGGUAAUGGGUAAAGAAGCACCGGCUAACUACGUG
Molecule: ribosomal RNA, 468 nt
Filed under: uncultured bacterium
Lineage: Bacteria
Description: partial 16S ribosomal RNA
Rfam family: Bacterial small subunit ribosomal RNA
Source: RNAcentral